Molecule: long non-coding RNA, 296 nt
Filed under: Vigna radiata
Lineage: Eukaryota; Viridiplantae; Streptophyta; Magnoliopsida; Fabales; Fabaceae
Description: long non-coding RNA (VRAD_LNC010131)
Source: RNAcentral
GGGGGGAAUUUAGAAGGCAAAAGAAAGGCAUUGAGCUCAAGUGUUGAAUAAAAGAAAAAGCAUGAGAAAAGGAAAAGAUGAAAAGAAAAAGCAUGAAAGAUGAGCUUAAUGUAAAAAUAAAAGGAAAGGGAAGAAGUUGGGAAUGAGUGAGAAUUGGUUAAGAAGAGAGUUUGUGCUUGAACUUUGAAUGGUAAAAUAACUCUCUUGACUCAAGGAUUUUGUGAUCCAGAAAAACCAAUUUUUGUUGUUAGCCCAGCCUCAUUAUAAGCCAUGGAAAAGUCCUUGUGAUGGCAUUU